Molecule: ribosomal RNA, 231 nt
Filed under: uncultured bacterium
Lineage: Bacteria
Description: partial 16S ribosomal RNA
Rfam family: Bacterial small subunit ribosomal RNA
Source: RNAcentral
CUCGUCCUACGGGAAGCAGCAGUGAGGAAUAUUGGUCAAUGGUCGGGAGACUGAACCAGCCACGCCGCGUGAGGGAUGAAGGUACAGAGUAUCGUAAACCUCUUUUGUCAGGGAACAAAGGCGGGGACGCGUCCCCGGAUGAGUGUACCUGAAGAAAAAGCAUCGGCUCACUCCGUGCCAGCAGCCGCGGUAAUACGGAGGAUGCGAGCGAUAUCCGGAUUUAUUGGGUUU